Molecule: ribosomal RNA, 255 nt
Filed under: uncultured bacterium
Lineage: Bacteria
Description: partial 16S ribosomal RNA
Rfam family: Bacterial small subunit ribosomal RNA
Source: RNAcentral
UACGUAGGUGGCGAGCGUUGUCCGGAUUUAUUGGGCGUAAAGCGCGCGCAGGCGGUGCGGUAAGUCCGUCGUGAAAUCUCCCGGCUCAACUGGGAGGGUGCGGUGGAGACUGCCGGACUGGAGGCACUCAGAGGCCGGUGGAAUUCCCGGUGUAGUGGUGAAAUGCGUAGAGAGUCGGGAGGAACACCAGUGGCGAAGGCGGCCGGCUGGGGGUCGACCUGACGCUGAGGCGCGAAAGCGUGGGGAGCGAACCGG